This 500-nucleotide ribosomal RNA is filed under the name uncultured bacterium. RNAcentral describes it as "bacterial SSU rRNA". It matches the Rfam family "Bacterial small subunit ribosomal RNA", at positions 30 to 524 of the family's 1533-position model. The record is from RNAcentral.
AUUGAACGCUGGCGGAAUGCUUUACACAUGCAAGUCGAACGGUAGAGGGGGGCAACCCCUUGAGAGUGGCGAACGGGUGAGUAAUAUAUCGGAACGUGCCCAGUCGUGGGGAUAACGUAGCGAAAGUUACGCUAAUACCGCAUACGAUCUACGGAUGAAAGCGGGGGACUCGCAAGAGCCUCGCGCGAUUGGAGCGGCCGAUAUCAGAUUAGGUAGUUGGUGGGGUAAAGGCUCACCAAGCCAACGAUCUGUAGCUGGUCUGAGAGGACGACCAGCCACACUGGAACUGAGACACGGUCCAGACUCCUACGGGAGGCAGCAGUGGGGAAUUUUGGACAAUGGACGCAAGUCUGAUCCAGCCAUUCCGCGUGCAGGAUGAAGGCCCUCGGGUUGUAAACCUGCUUUUGUACGGAACGAAAAGGUUUCUAUUAAUACUAGGAGCUCACGACGGUACCGUAAGAAUAAGCACCGGCUAACUACGUGCCAGCAGCCGCGGUAAA